Non-coding RNA from Peromyscus maniculatus bairdii (prairie deer mouse), 1097 nucleotides. Lineage: Eukaryota; Metazoa; Chordata; Mammalia; Rodentia; Cricetidae. The record is from RefSeq and is a predicted model, not a curated record.
UCACCGCUGUCGGUUGACCUGGGUAGGCUGCAGCCGCUGGGGCUUGGCUAUCCAGCAGGUCCUCUUGGGGACUACAACCAGUCACAGGCCCGAGCACCGAGGGAAGAAGCUCCCAGGCUGGGGUUGAAUUUGGGAAUGGAGCCCACACAGGCUGUACCUGGAUACUUGGACUCUCCAUCGGCAGAGGCAACAGCAGUAAAGCCACCAUGGGAAUGGGUUGAUCCAACAACCACUUUAGAGUUUCCACUUAUUUCUGGCAGUCCUUCUGGAAUAUUCUGGGGGGAGGGGGUGUCUCCUGAUUGUACUUAGCCCGCUGAUUCUUGAAUAAGAUCUGGAUCUCAUACUCCAUCAAAUGGAUCCUUCGCGCCAGCUCCACCCGCUGCUCCAGGCUCAGAUACAAGCACUGAUCAAAACACUCCUGAGCUUUUGUUCCUUGUACAGAUGCUUGGCAGAGUCUGUCCUGGGCCUUUUAAACUCUAAUACGAUUUUCUUCAAGCUUCAAAGACAAAAUAAGGGUAGCCAGAUGCCUCAGUGGGUGGGAGUGCUCGCUGCACAGACCUGAAGCUCUGAGACCAGCCCCCGGAACCCACGGAUCUCACCAUGACUUUUGUGGAACUUGCUGUGUAGACCGGGCUGGCCUCCAACUUGGAGAGAUUGGCCUGCUUCUGCCUCUGGAGUGCUGGGAUCGAAGGUGUGUACCACCAGGGAUAUGUCUUUGUAAGUGCAUAUUAGAGACAAGCUGACUGUCUCCGGGAGGACACCAGAGGACCAGCAGGCUGGAAACCGUCAAGUGACAUGCUGGAGAACGAGGGGUCAGGGGACCAGACGUGCUUUUCUUUUCUUCUUCUUCCUCUUUCUUUGUUUCUUAGUUUGUUUGUUUGUUUCUUUCUUUCUUUCUCUUCCUUCCUUCCUUCUUUCUCUCUCUCUCUCUUUCCCUUCCUUCCUUCCUCCCUCCCUCUCUCCCCCCCCCCUCUUUCAUUUUUUUCUGAAACAAAGUCUUGCUAUGUUAUCUAGCUUGAUCUUGAACUUCUGGGUUCAAGCAGUUCUGUUUCAGCCUACAGAGUAUCUGGGACUGGAGGGUGGGUCCCCUCCCUCUU